CAACGUCCGUGUACCAGGCCGUCUACCUUUUGGGCUGAGCCGUGGAACAAUUACGUCGGAGCGAACCUGAGCCGUUCUGGAAGCCUGCCGCCGGCACGGACGGCUGCCCUUCCCCAAGGCUGCGGGACGCUGCGGUUCCUCCGGCGGCCGGCGAUGCAAGAUGCUGGGCUUAAAUCCUUCUGGAUGCGGUCGACCAGUUUCCGGUGCGAGCGGAGUUCGCGGACAGCCUGGAACAUCCAGAUCCGGUGCCUCUUGCGGUGCUCCCGCGACGUGAUGUCACCCCUGCUACGCCGGCGGAUUCGAAUGCUGGCUCCGGGUGCAGGCAGCACGUUGGUUGCGCUAGCCCUGGGAGGACGCAGGGUGAAAAUCGGUGUCGACGGCCGGGCUCUCCGACGAGGUCUGCGCAGUCCACCCACAGGGUAAAUCCAGAGGCGCCGGGAUGGACCAAAAGGUUACAUCUUGGGAGUGCGCCACCGGACAGAACGCCGUGUCCAUAUCGGAUGAGUGCUUUAGAGCAGUCAAUUCGCAAGUAUGCCCCUGCUCCCCGCUCGUCGCAGUCCUGGCAUCCCGCUUGUCCUCACAUGCGUCGUCUUUCUGUCUCCGCCGGUGCCACCACUACUCGCUGCUCGUUGCUGCCAGUCGAGCAAGAUGUCCGGUGCUGCGGUGGACAAGCACAAGACGCCAACGGAGGAAGAGAAUAGGAAUCCGGCGUGGGAGGAUGAGGAGGACAAGGAUCAGGCGAGAAAGGAGGUGGUUAUAGGUCUGAUACUUAGCAUGAUUUAUUUUCAGUAUUCUCUGUAGUUUAUAAGCAGCAAAUGCCACCAGGGAAUGCUCCAUGUUGUAAGAAAAUUGUGAAUUCUGAACCUAGUCAAGUGCUUCUACUGCAAGGUACUAUAUAGGUACCUGAUA
Molecule: RNA transcript, 909 nt
Organism: Triticum aestivum (bread wheat)
Lineage: Eukaryota; Viridiplantae; Streptophyta; Magnoliopsida; Poales; Poaceae
Exons: 3
Source: RefSeq, a predicted model, not a curated record